CUUCAGUGCACAGGCUGUGUGUAUAAACCACUUUAUACAUUAUACUGCCUGUUGACAUUUUUAUGGAGUGUGAUUUGAACAUAUGUAGAUCUAAUUAGGGGUGGAUUUAAGGUGAUAAUUAUUGCAUAGUUGAAAAUCCAAAGUGGCAAAUUGACUCUUGUGCACAUUUUUUCACGUGUCAUAUUUGCAUGUGCAUUUCCAAAUUUUCACGAGUCAAAACCCGAAUCCCCGCGUCAAUAGAGAGUCCUGAAUUAAAGUAGGCUGACGGAUAUUAACGAUGAUAACUUAGUCUUUACUUAACCAGCGAACCUUUACGAUUAUACUCGAGCAAUAUCCGUAUAUUUACGCUAACCAAGACGAGCAUAAUUUCAUGACGUAUUGGAUACGUAUACUGAUGACGUAGCAACACAAUUGUUUUGGAAACUACUGUAGCAUUGUAUGAAAUUCAAGCGCUUGUUGGGCUUAAAAUAAUAGAUUUUUGAAAUAAAAUUCAACGAUAUAAUUGAAAUUAUUCAGUCAUUGUAUUGACGGCAAAAACAACAGAAGUACACGAAAUUUUGCGAAUCAAGCACAUGUUACUGACGUAGUACACAUGUUUAUUACGUAGAACAUAGGUUUAUUGUGCGCGCAAUAUUCAAAGACGGCAGACACUUCGUCUCUUAUCAACAGUGAACUGAUAUCGUCUCCCCAAUAAAGACAUACAACGAGGAAGGUGAAAUAGCUCAAGCAAAUUAUCAGAAGAUCGAAGACCUUCAAAGCUGCAAUCGGUGAAAUUCACUAUAAGAAUUGGUACCACAAGGCCACAAAGGGAGGAGUUCAACUUACUCGUGGAUGAUGUUCAAAGCUGAGGAGAGUGAGAGCUUAAAUCUAUAAAACGGGUCAAAAACUUUUGAUAUAGAAACUGUCAUAAAUUCUUCAGUUAAUUGAAAGAGGGCAAGUUGUACAAAAUGCCAUGGAGCUAAAUAUACAUGGAGAAGAAACUGUGAUGUCACACAGUUAAAUUCAGUAUUGUGUUCAGAAUUGUGGCAGAAUUGUGUUCUUAUAAGUUAUCAUAUGUCGGGGAUUUUCAGAGAUUUGAUGCAUCCUGGGUAAAAAUAGCCAAAACACCGUCAUAUUGAAUUCCCGAGGAAGAUGAAACAUUUUUUUGCUUAAAUAAGAAGCAAUAGUUAUUUAUUGUAAAAGGUACUAUACACACUUUUCUAUACAAAUAUUUCUCUGAUGAAAAUCUAUGUAGGGGUAUGUUAACAAUAAUUCAUGGAUAUCGUCUAAGUUUAACGAGAAUGCGAAAAUUGGAGACUAUCGGGAAAACCCAAUUAUCACCGAAGCCUGCAAAGGAUUGUGGGUCUGAAUCUGACUAUUAUCUAUUUUUAGAGCUUCCUAUCUGUUGUGUGUAUAUAUCUGUGAAAAUGCAAAGAAGUCGUUGGAUUACCAAAGAUCAACAUUUCAUUUGAUUACCAGAGAUCAUCAAUUCACUGGAUUGCAAUAUAACGUAAAUGAUGUACACUAGACAGCUAGGCCUUUAGAAUAUAAAAGAUAUCACCAUCAAAGAAGAAAUAAAAUAACUUUUUUAAAAUGUUAUCCAAUCUUUUAAUGCUUUUAAAAUGUAAGCACUAUUUGGUGUAACGUCUUGUAGGCGUUACAAGAAUUAUAUGGUGUUUUUCAACAUUUUGACCAUUUUAGAAGAGAAAUACUAUGAUUUCUUUUUCGUUUUUGUUCAUAACAAUGUCAUUGGAUAAGAUUUUUGUACUUAACAUUUUUGCUCAUUACAAACGCAUAUAUGGCCUUUAAUCUCAAAGUUCAAAAGAUCCAGAGGCUUAUUGUGAGAUUUUUGACAGUUCAAUAUGUCUGUUGUUCGUCUUAACAAUUUCUAAUGUUAAAUACAUUAAAAAGUGUCCAAAACUAUAAGUCCACACAGUAAUCAAAUUGGUUGCCUAAUGAAACUAAAAGGGCAAUGCUUUUGAGUUCAUGAAAAGUUAGGGGAUUUGGUGAUUUGUAAGAAAUCUAUGUACAUACAUAUGUGUCAAUGUAAUAGAAAUUCCAUGUACAUGUACAUUUAUUUUCAGAUGUGAACAGUUGUUAACAGUAUUAUAUUAGCUCAAAUAAAUGCAACAGUUUUUUGAAA
Ruditapes philippinarum (Manila clam) is the source of this 2122-nucleotide long non-coding RNA. RefSeq lists it as uncharacterized. The transcript has 2 exons. The record is from RefSeq and is a predicted model, not a curated record. Lineage: Eukaryota; Metazoa; Mollusca; Bivalvia; Venerida; Veneridae.